AACCUGCAAAGCAAAAGCUUGACAAACGGUAUCAUCUACCUGCAUCAACAAAGGCGUACAAGUUACUUGAAGAUGAGACAAAAGAAAAAUUCAAGGAAUAUUACAGACAAGAAAAAAUGGACUACUUCUGGAUGCAACCAAGGCAAAGGUCCAUGGCGAUUGACCUUGUUGUCCUAAAAAUAGAUAUGACGUCAUUGUUUGUGGAUGGAGCAAUCGACGCCAACAUAAUUGAUGCUUCGUUCUACACAAUGGCAGAAAACGAAUAAAAAAUAGGGCAACAACAAAAUCUGUAUCUUCCUUCAUUCAUCUUUAAUGAUAUGGAGAUUGAAAAAAGCAAGAGUGAUCAGGAGCACAUUGACCAAACAUUGAAGACAGUCUUACAAGAUAAUGUGG
Molecule: non-coding RNA, 393 nt
Organism: Malus domestica (apple)
Lineage: Eukaryota; Viridiplantae; Streptophyta; Magnoliopsida; Rosales; Rosaceae
Source: RefSeq, a predicted model, not a curated record